AUGACGAUAAAACUAGCGGUCGGAUCACUCCAUUCAUUCCUGUGUUUGAUGUCCAUGAUGUUGCUACUCUUGGUCACACUGUCCAGUCUGGCGGCCAUCAAGGCGGAGACCACACCUUGUUGUGUGGACUACAAAUGGUCAGCCACUAUGUUCGACGUUCGUCAGCCCUCUAAAGGAAACAGUAUAACGGCUGACUUCUACUAUGACUUCAACAACGUAGCCACUGCCACCCAGUAAUAUAAGGACGGAUCACCUCAACGUGUGAAGUCAAACAGAGUUGUCAUAUCGUACGCCAAGAAAACACGCUACGACAUCAACGCUGACGGCACAUGCACCAAGGUUGCCAUCACUGACAUGUUACUGCCAAACUGCAUCGUAGGUGAGCGUACAUUCGUUGGAUCCAGCUACGUCGGCACCCGACCAAACUGGCUGAAAUCUGACACCUGGCGCUUUCCUCUCGGCUCCCUCAACUUCACCGUGAGCUAUACAAAUCCCGGCUGUGUCCUAACAUUCCAGGUAGUCGUCGAUACAGCACAAUCCCCUUCAGUAGCUACAGUGGUAUACUUUAACGGACAUAAAGUAGGCAUCACGGAUCCAGGUGCUUUCAGCGUACCCCUUUCCUGUCAGUAGCAAGGCAACUGCUGUGUGGACAGUUUAUAUGUUAUCCCUGUUGUUGUCUGUUCACGUACGACUGUUCAUCAAUACACAUCCU
This is a long non-coding RNA of Haliotis rufescens (red abalone), 712 nucleotides long. RefSeq lists it as uncharacterized. NCBI's taxonomy places the organism in Eukaryota, Metazoa, Mollusca, Gastropoda, Lepetellida, Haliotidae. The transcript has 5 exons. The record is from RefSeq and is a predicted model, not a curated record.